Long non-coding RNA from Physeter macrocephalus (sperm whale), 5773 nucleotides. RefSeq lists it as uncharacterized. The record is from RefSeq and is a predicted model, not a curated record. The transcript is spliced from 6 exons. NCBI's taxonomy places the organism in Eukaryota, Metazoa, Chordata, Mammalia, Artiodactyla, Physeteridae.
GGCUGGACCCGUGAGCCAUGGCCGCUGAGCCUGCGCGUCCGGAGCCUGUGCUCCGCAACGGGAGAGGCCACAAGAGUGAGAGGCCCGCGUACUGCAAAAAAAAAAAAAAAAGAAAAAAAAUUACAAACCAGCUAGAAACUAUUCUGGCAGUGUUUACAAAUUACUUGCUAUCUUUAUACAAAAUUGCUAGAUAAUGAAAAUGAGUAGCCUGCGUAUCACCCUAAAUAAAACGAUCACUCCACACAAAUCUGUACAUAUAAACACACACCUAUCAUGUGUUGCUCUUUAUACAGUUUACUUUCUAGGGCUCACUCAGUCAUAACCUCCCUGUAUUUCUACCUACUACCUCUGGGGCUGCCUCUCAGCCCCACACUGAGGACAGCUUUCCUCAGGGAAUACUCAGACUCCCCACACACCUUCCCACCUCUUAGACAAUGAACACAACCAGACUCAGUAUUCCAGAUGUGCCCUGACCAGCUCAAGGCACAAUGUGGCCAUCACACCUCCCCUGAUAAAUACACUAUACUUCUAAUAAUGCAACCUAAAAGUAUUUUAGGUUUCUUGGUUAACAAAAUCCAUAUACUGGUAGGCAAGACAGGAGCAUAGUUAAGUGCAAGGACUCUGAAGUCAUCAGCUUGGGUUCAAAUCCUAGCUCUGCCAUUUCCUGGCUGUAUGACCUUGGGCAAGUAGCUUAACCCCUCUGGGACUCUCUUCUUCAGCAGUGAAAUCAGCAUUUACUUAUUGGUAUAAAAUAUGGACUCUAAUACUCCCCUCGGAAGGGAUGCUGAGAAGAUGAGGUGGAAUACAGUACCUAGGGCACCUAGUAGAGUACCUGGCACAUGAUAAUCACGAGGUUAAUAUGAGCCAUUGUUAUUGUUUUCAUGCUACAUGGUUCAGAAGAAUAUGCAUGGGCUUUGGGUUUAAUUGUCUGAUCCAGCACUUGGCUGGUGGCCUGUGGGUAAGCAACUGUCCUCCAGGCCCCGAUCACUCACCAUGAGAACAGGGGUACUAAUACCUGCUUUGCGAUGUUGUCGCAGGGAUCAGAGGUAGAUUGAGAAGCCCCUGGCACCUGGAUACUUGAUAACUUCAGUUAUUACCAUUUGCUCAGGUUGAGUUUAUCAGCCAAAGUCAGGUCCAUCUGCACUCAGACAACUAACUUUUUGAACCUAGGACUUUCCAUCAGUCAUGGUAAGCACCCAAGACAAAAUCACGGAAUGACAUUACUGACUAAAGACCAGGAAGGAGAAGCUACAAAUGGUGAUUAGAGAUGAAAGAAGGUAAAGAAGGAGAAACAGUGGGCGAAGAGAGAGAGAGGGGAAGGGGUAGGAAAGAGAUCCUUUUGUCCUUUGUUGAAAUAUCACAGGAGUUAGGAGAGGAGGUACAGGAGACGCUGGGAAACAGCUAAAAAUGGAAUCUCUGGGGCCAGUGCCCAGCCCAAGUAUGUCUUCUCUCCCAUCCCCUCUACCCCUCGGGGUCAGGAGCAGCUGCAGGCCACCAGCAAGCUCCAAAAUAACCAUCCCAUCAGUGUGCCCGGCUGCGCGGGGCCCUGAAAUAGAUGAAACCUGAGAUGGAGGAACUGGUCAGAGCACCCUCCACAGAGGGGACGGCAAAGGUCACAUCACCUUGAUAUUUGCACAUCCGCAGCGCUGGAUAAUCUUUAACCACGGGUCAGCCUGCAGCCGCCCAGCCGCCUGGCAGAUCUCUGCCGGCCCCUGUUUGGAAGACGCGCCAACCCAUUUACUGUGUCCACAAACAUCCUCCUGCCGGUCCGCAGCUGGCACGGAGCAGGCGAAGGAGCCAGGAGGACGGGUACGUGGCUUGGAUGGGCGAGGGGUUUCUCCACCCUUCUGGGCAGUGCCCUGACCCCACACCACCUCCACACUCUCCAUGUAAACCCAACCACGGGAAAGCCAGGAGAAACACACACACUUUCUGAGGCUCGCGGAGGGAAGGGCAGAAUGUCCCAGAAUCACUCAGAGUCAUAGACUCUUCGGUUUAUAGAAUCUUCAAGCCACAGGAUCUUAGAUGUAUAGAUUCUCAGAAUCAUCUGGUCUGGUGGUUCUCAAACUUUUUUUCAAGCAGUGGAAUCAUUCAUCCAAUGGAACGGAAAACUCUGCUUAAAGUCUAAGAGGCGGCCACAGAGCCCUGCCACUCAGCUGCCUCAGAGAUGCCUCUGUGGAAUCCCAGUGCUCCAAGGAACCCAGCUGGAGAACCACAGAUCUUGUUCCAAGAAACAGUUUAGAUCGCAGGGUUUGACUUUCAUCCAGACACAGGGACUUGGUUUUAAGGCUCCCUCUUCCAAAGCGCGGACUGGCAGGGGAUUGUCUGUUUUGGUGGUGUUUCUAGAUAUUCCUUUUUAACCGAAAAAGACAGCCCUUCCCGUUUGUAAAAACACUUUUACAUAUGUGAGCCUCACAGAAUAUCUGUGAGGUACAUGGUGCAUGUAUAAUUAUGUCCAAAUAACAGACAAGGCGGUUGAGGCAUAGAGAUGCUGAGAGACUUGCCCAAAGCUAGGGAAUGGCCAAGUGGAGUCGAUUCAGUCAGGUCUCCUGCUUCUGAAAUGACGGCUUUGUCCCCAAUACUGCAAGGCCCCAGCUCCUCCCCUACACACACCCCACUCUGGGCCACCAGGUCUCUCCAAGGUCCCCAGCACUAUAUCUUGGCCCAAAGAGAUACUAGAUGGAAACACAUAAAAUUGCCAUUUCUGGACACUACAAACAGUCAAAUAUUGGCAAUUAUAUAUGGUUGCACUUUAUAUAUAUUCAUUCUGGUAGAAAACUAGAGCACACUGUGAACAACAGAAUCAAACAAAGCCCUCAAGAGCCUUCAGGGAACUACAAGGCAGGCAGACCUACCCUCACCACUGAAACAGGACGCUAGGCACCCACUGCCCCUCUUCGACUCUGCCAGGGCCCUGGUGGCCUAUCUGUGCCCAACACAUAUGGCUGAUCCCUGAUGCCUGGAGCUCUCACAAGCUCUAUUCUGGAAGACAUAAGGGGGCCAAAAUCCCCACCCUUGGCGGGGUAUCUAGACAUAAUAGGGAGACCAGAGAGACUCAUAUUUAGAGAAGCUGGGAAUUAAUGUAGCCCACACUUCUGGGCUCAAGUCACAGCUCCACCGAGCUGUGUGACCAUGGACACGUUAUCAGACCUCUCUGAGCCUCUGUUUCCUUAUCUGCAAAAUAGGUACACUAAUAACUUUCUUUAUAAUAUAGACAAAGAGGAUUUCUACUGUAUUCUUAAAGAGGACAGUACAUGAUGCAGAACUGCUGAUACUGCUUAGACCUCCACUCGCUUCAGGAAGAGGAAGGGUCACGAAGAAUACAGUAAGUCAGGGAAGGCUCCCUGGUGGAGGGGAGGGUUUGGUACUGGGCCUUGAUAUAACUGGCAGAAUUUGAGGCGAGCAAAAAAGAAGCACCUGGAAGAGUCUCCGAAGCAGAAAGAACAGCAAGAUUUUUUUUUUUUUUUAACUAAGAAGAAAUGAAAACCAUCAAAAAGGAAGAAAUCACUAUCAGCAUCCUCAGCUCUUUCUCCAUCCCAAGAGCUUGGCUCGGGCUCCUUAAGCCAAUAUUUGCCUCUCAGCCCCUGGCAGCCACAACUGAAGGAAGUCCUUCUGGAUUGCUCCCCAGCUGCACCCUCCCCCCCCCAGUUUUAUUCUUCAGCCACACUUUUUUGUAGUAUUGGAUUUAGGUCACCUCAGAGCAGUCAUAUGGCAUGUCCCCCAAUAUAAACACUCUUUAAGGAGAGGGGCUGGGUUUCCAAUUCAAGUGUCUCCUCCGACCCCUGCACAGCGCCUAGGCUGUGGUGGGCACAGCGGGGUGCGCAGGAACACCCUACAGAUGGAUUCCUGGCUCACCAGCUUUCUGCCAGGAUCCACAGCUGCUCUUCCUGAACCAACACUUCUGAGAGGAGGAGGGAGACCUUGAAAACUGGGAUAGGAACUUAUCUCUCCAAGUAUUAAUCACCCCAUAAAACUUGUAUUUAUUUAGUUGCUGGCAGGUCCUUCUUCCUGGAGGUAGGAAGCUGUUAUUCUUGGAGAUACCAGCCUGGGCUUGGGCCAGGGUGCCCGGAGGGAAGAGGGUGAUCUGCUGUGAACCCCAGCGUAACAGGGAGCCUGGAAGGUCUGAAGCAGGUCUGCUGGGGCCAUGGCACGGGCAUCAGGGGGCCCAGGUGAUGGUUAGGGCAGUGGGGGGGGCGGGGAUGGGGACCCCACCUGGAGGUGUCAAUCAGGGAGAGACACCAGCCCUUACCUCCACUCUGUGGCGGAAAGAUGGCCAAUGUGUCCAUGGCCUGACUUGUGGGCCUACUAUGUGCCAGGGAGCCCAGGAUGUCUCUGGGCUGAGGAGCUUGGAGGGCUUUGGCCACAGGUUCCAGGUGGAGGCAAGAGGGGAGGGGGCAGGCCUCUGGCAGGUAAUCUCUAAAGAUGAGCCACAGUUUUGGGGGACAAUCACCCCAGGAAAGACAGGCCCAUCCUCAGAGCCCCCAAGACAGAGAGUGACUUCUUCAGAGGAGAAACUCAGCUGAGGAGGAAGACGAGGGAAAGCAGAGGAGCCGGCGGGAUCUGGUUGGAGGGAGAGAGAGGCCCAGAAAGACACAGGUGCAGUGACGUGGCAGUCUUUUUUCUUUUUAACUAUCUUUUUUACUCAAAUAAAAGUGUUUUGAGGGACUUUCCUGGUGGUCCAGUGGUAAAGAAUCCGCCUUACAAUGCAGGGGAUGCGGAUUCAAUCCCUGGUCAGGGAACUAAGAGCCCACAUGCCGCGGGGCAGCUAAGCCUGCGCACCACAACUGCUGAGCCUGCGUACUGCAGAUUACAGAGCUCACGAGCUCUGGAACCCGAGUGCCACAACUACAGAGCCCACCCGCCCUGGAGCCUGUGCACCACAGCUAGAGAAGACAAAACCCGCUACCACAACUAGAGAGAAGCCCACACGCCACAAUGAAAGAUCCUGCAUGCCUCAGUGACGAUCCCACAUGCCACAACUAAGACCUGACGCAGCCAAAAAAAAGUCCUCAGAAGUGAAGUUACUCACCAAGGUCACCCAGCCAGAGUAAAGAGCCCAGAUGUGAACCCAGGCCUGCUGCCUCCAAACCCAACUCUGAGACCCCAUUUUUCUCAUCUGUAAAAUAGGGACCAUGGCAGACCUUCCUGGUAUUCUUGCAAGGAUUAAAGAGAUGCUGUAUUUAAAACUAAUCUAGGGACAUGGGUUCGAUCCCUGGUCCAGGAAGAUCUCACAUGCCGCAGAGCAACGAAGCCCAUGCACCACAACUACUGAGCCUGAGCUCUAGAGCCCGCGAGCCACAACUACUGAGCCCACGUGCCACAACUACUGAAGCCCGCGCGCCUAGAGCCCGUGCCUUGCAACAAGAGAAGCCACCACAAUGAGAAGCCCGCACACUGCGACGAAGAGUAGCCCCAGCUCACCGCAACUAGAGAAAGCCUGUGCACAGCAAUGAAGACCCAACACAGACAAAAAUAAAUAAAUAAAAUUAAUUAAUUAAAAAAAAAAAAAAAAACCUUUGGCCUCUCUCUUGGUUACUUUCUCUUACCUCUCUCGGGUCGCUCCCUCUGGGGAAGUCAGCCAUGUAUGGUAGCCCUGCGGAGAGGCCCAUGUGCGAGGGACCGGGGACCACCAGUCACCAUGUGAGUAAGCCUGGAUGUGGCUCCGCCUCCAGGCAAGCCUUCAGCCCCAGCCAACAACUUGACUGUAACUUCACAAGGGACAUUAAGCUGGAGGCACCUAACUAAACCGUGUCAAGAUUCCUGACCCACAGAA